RNAcentral lists this transfer RNA (82 nucleotides) under Echinostoma caproni. It matches the Rfam family "tRNA". Rfam says of the family: Transfer RNA (tRNA) molecules are approximately 80 nucleotides in length. Lineage: Eukaryota; Metazoa; Platyhelminthes; Trematoda; Plagiorchiida; Echinostomatidae. The record is from Rfam by way of RNAcentral.
GGCCUCGUAGCUCAGCUGGUAGAGCAUGCGCGUACAAAGCGUAGGCGGUGUCCAUGCGUGGGUUCGAAUCCAACCGAGGCUU